AGAGAGAGAGAGAGAGAAUCUCAAGCAGGCUCCAUGCUGUCAACAGAGAGCCCGAUGUGGGACUCAAUUUCACGAAGCGCAAGAUCGUGACCUGAGACAAAAAUCAAGAGUUGGACACUCAACUGACUGAGCCACCCAGGUGCCCCUCUGAGUGGGGACUCAAUGGAAGCUCCUUGUGGGACACCCAGGACUAGGAAUAUUGAUCUGCAAUUUCAUCUAAGAGUGAGAAGGGUCAACAAUCAAGUACAGGUCAGCUUGACCUUGGAAAGGUCAGCUUCAGAAUAGCGGCUGUUAGUAGUCACGACUGAGGCAACUCCAGAGCACCCAAAGCAUUACCACAGUGUACCUUAACCCACGGUGGCGAUCCCUCCUCUGGACUGGCUGAUGGCAAGGACAGCCUCAAUCUCUCUUCUCUGAGGUCCCCUAAAUCCCCAAACGAUUUUUUAAAAUCCUGUCUGAUGUCGGAUUUCUUUUUUGCACAGUGUUAAUAUUUUAAAGCCCCAAGAAAAAUCCCAAAGCAAAUUCUUCCCACUCAAGUGAACCAAGCUCUAAACUUACAACAAGAAAAGAGAAUAUGGCCCAUGGCAGAGAAACUGAAAAUGCAGGGAAUGCUUAAAGGGUAACCCUUCCAGGAUGAAAUCAGCCUUUCCCUUGUUUUCUGAUUUUUUUUCUUUUUAAAAAAUACUUUCCAAAAACCCCAAAGAAAAAGAACAGC
Molecule: long non-coding RNA, 715 nt
Organism: Neofelis nebulosa (Clouded leopard)
Lineage: Eukaryota; Metazoa; Chordata; Mammalia; Carnivora; Felidae
Exons: 2
Source: RefSeq, a predicted model, not a curated record